UGAUCAGGUCACUUUUUCAGUGCCGUUGUAACUUUGAACAAAUGGUUGUAAGUCAGGGACUACUUGUAAUCAAUUCUGUAACAUACAAGGAAUUCAAAAGUUAGUUAUAGGUUAUGUUUUAAAAUAUGUCGGCUCAUGAGGAUGGAAUAAGUAUUCUAUAUAUUAACACCUAGCCUAGUGCUGACCUAGGCCGAGACCCUUGCUCCCCUCCCUCUCCCCUUCUGCCCUGCUGGUUUCCCAGGCCCCCUUGCAGGACAGGUGUUCUCUGGCUUCUGCGCUUUCCUCUAAGAAGAGACACCUGAUAAAUCAUCAGAAGUUAAUGAUCAAAAGGCUUAUCUGAGCCUUUUCGUUUAUAAAUGUGUAAGACAAAAGAGAAAUAAUAAAGCCACUGGAUAAUUAGUAACCAGUCCAGUCCUGAAACGUUGGAAACCAAGCUGACCCUAGAUCUCCACGCAGAGUCAGGGCGACUUGGGGGACGAGAAGAAGAGGUCAUCUGAAGGGCAGGUAGCUUGGAAGCUGAACCCCAGAAGGGGAAUUAGCCAAGGGAGAGGAGUAGGGAAGGUUUCCCUAGCUGCAACAGAGGAAGAGGAGGCAAAGGAAGAAGCCCACAAGCUUGUCUGCUUCGCCCCACAGGUCUGUUGAUUAGCUUGAUGGGCAAAGGGGAUAUAAACAGAAAUGCCUGUUCAUUGGAAAGGAAAUCUGAAGUGGGGGCAGGGGCUGUGCCCCAACAAAGCAACAAACCCUUUCUGCUGAUUACCUCAAAGGAAUGGAAGGAUUCUUUGGCUCCUACAAAUUCCACUUCAGAAGUACAACAGGGGCAUAUUUUCCUUCUGCUGAAGUUUUAUACAUAUAAAACUUAAAGAAAACAAUAUUAAAGAGUUACCUCUGAAUUUGAAAUAUUUCCAGAACAUGAUUAAGAUAUUUAUAUUUUUUUCUUUAAGGUCUAUAAAAUAACAUGUUGCAGUAUCAUAAUCAGACAAAGGACUUUAAUUCAACUGUAAAAUUAUGUUUCGCAAGAGGGUUGACUAUUAAUAUUUUAAGAUAGUUUAAAUAUUGAAAUUUCAUUUACACUAGAGAGGUUGUUGUAUUAUACUGUUACCUUUAUAUCAAAAAGGAAAGUCACUUUUAUAUUUAUUUGUUUUUUGUUACUUUUUAAUCUGUUCUGUUAUUCCUAUUUUAAUAUUUAUGAAAUAAAGAUAUUUGUAAAAAAAAAUAAAGAGGGAACUCAUUUUAAAUGCCACACGGGUGUGACAUUUAGGUUAAAGACUGCAACCUAGCACACAAAUCCUUUAACUCAGAUGGGGCUAAAGGCUGGGCUGGCUGCUCUGUCAUGCACCCUCCUGCUGAUUCCAACAGGAGCAAUUUAUUACAAGGAUUUUCCAGCUGCCGUGGAAAAUCCAGAAGGAAUCUGGUGGCACCUUUUCCAAUGAACCACUUGAGGCAAGGAGAUCUGGGAUGCUAGGGGCACAGGGUGGAUCUGGUGGAAAAGUAAACUUUCCCUUUUCUCUUAGACAUUUCACUUUCAAUCUUUGUUAUAGUUUAGAUUUGGAAAUGUUAUAUGUUAUCUGUAUUGGACUGAACAAGUGAUUUCUUGUUAAUUGAAUUUAUUCUCUUUGAAGCUAACAUGACCCUAUUGGUUCUGUUGCUAUGUAUGUCAUCCAUUGGUCAAAAUAACGAAGCAUUUGCCUAUUUAUUUUAGAUAGAAACUCCUGUUUUUUAAAAAAAGAGUAUUGGGCUUAGCAGUGAGAAGACGGACUUUCAGGCAUUUCCUGAAUGACCAUCUAUACCGGAGUCUUUUUUGGAUGAUUCGUUUGAAUCUAAGCUGUCCCGUAGAGACAGUGACGUGGGGGGAACUCCAGUGGUCCCAGAGAUGUUCGCAAAAUCUCUGGGAACCUAAGGAAAGCCCUCCUAAUCCAGUGACUUCCAGAUCGGCUUGAUGCUGACUGCAACUGCAAAAGCCCAGAGAGAGAGCUGAAUAUGAACAUGUCGUUUGCUGUGAGUUUUAAAUCCUUUUUUCUUGUUGGAAAGAGAACACUCUAAAUUUGGAA
Long non-coding RNA from Thamnophis sirtalis, 2048 nucleotides. RefSeq lists it as uncharacterized. Lineage: Eukaryota; Metazoa; Chordata; Lepidosauria; Squamata; Natricidae. The record is from RefSeq and is a predicted model, not a curated record.